This 272-nucleotide ribosomal RNA is filed under the name uncultured bacterium. Its description in RNAcentral is "partial 16S ribosomal RNA". It matches the Rfam family "Bacterial small subunit ribosomal RNA", at positions 524 to 794 of the family's 1533-position model. The record is from RNAcentral.
UACGAAGGGGGCUAGCGUUGCUCGGAAUCACUGGGCGUAAAGCGCACGUAGGCGGAUUGCUAAGUCAGGGGUGAAAUCCUGGAGCUCAACUCCAGAACUGCCUUUGAUACUGGCGAUCUUGAGUCCGGGAGAGGUGAGUGGAACUGCGAGUGUAGAGGUGAAAUUCGUAGAUAUUCGCAAAGAACACCAAGUGGCGAAGGCGCUCACUGGCCCGGUACUGACGCUGAGGUGCGAAAGCGUGGGGAGCAAACAGGGAUUAAGAAACCCCGAGU